UACGUAGGGUGCAAGCGUUGUCCGGAAUUAUUGGGCGUAAAGGGUAGGUAGGUGGUCUCAUUUGUGUGGGGUGAAAGCCUUGGGCUUAACUCAAGAAGUGCCCCGCAAACGGUGAGACUGGAGUACUGGAGAGGCUAGCGGAAUUCCCGGUGUAGCGGUGAAAUGCGUAGAGAUCGGGAGGAACACCAGAGGCGAAGGCGGCUAGCUGGACAGUUACUGACACUCAACUACGAAAGCGUGGGGAGCAAACAGG
Molecule: ribosomal RNA, 253 nt
Filed under: uncultured bacterium
Lineage: Bacteria
Description: partial 16S ribosomal RNA
Rfam family: Bacterial small subunit ribosomal RNA
Source: RNAcentral